CUUUUAAAGGAAACAAGUGCUCUACUGGCCUUAGGAGUCA
This 40-nucleotide transfer RNA is filed under the name Proctoporus bolivianus. RNAcentral's name for it is "partial tRNA-Leu". Lineage: Eukaryota; Metazoa; Chordata; Lepidosauria; Squamata; Gymnophthalmidae. The record is from RNAcentral.